This 705-nucleotide ribosomal RNA is filed under the name uncultured Genea. Its description in RNAcentral is "eukaryotic LSU rRNA". The stretch from base 258 to 411 matches the Rfam family "5.8S ribosomal RNA". Lineage: Eukaryota; Fungi; Ascomycota; Pezizomycetes; Pezizales; Pyronemataceae. The record is from RNAcentral.
GGAUCAUUAUCAUGUAAUCCAGUCAUGCUUUGCUGCCUGAGCUGAAUAUAAUACCCACCCUGCGUACGCUGUCCUGUUGCUUCCCGCUGGGUCCAGAGAGCACAUCUCGGCGGCACGUCCGUCCGGCAGAAGUCGGUUUCGCGGGUGCCCCCGAGAGCGGCUGCGCUGGAUUCAUCGUAUGCCCGGCGGGGAGGGAAAUGAUAACCUCGGAUCGCUUAAGAAUCUGUCUGAACAAGAGCAAAACAGUGAAAAGUUAAAACUUUCAGCAACGGAUCUCUUGGUUCUCGCAUCGAUGAAGAACGCAGCGAAAUGCGAUAAGUAGUGUGAAUUGCAGAAUUUAGUGAACCAUCGAAUCUUUGAACGCACAUUGCGCCUUCUGGUAUUCCGGGAGGCAUGCCUGUUCGAGAGUCAUUUACAACCAUCUCGAAUCCCCUGUUUUGUUGGCGCGGGGGAGUCGGUUCUGGUAGUUGGAGGGGUGCCCGACGUUCCCUCUGUACCGAAAUCCUUAGGCGGUCCGUGAUUGUCAACCCACAGGUUUCAUGGCGUGGUAAAGGAGAGGCGACUUCUCAAUUGAGGUGUGCCGCUUUUCGCCUGCAACUAUUUUGGGAACGGCACCGACUUGCCUUCGAAAAUCUAGUAAUCUUUAUUAUUUAUGAGAAUCAAAAGGUUGACCUCGGAUCAGGUAGGGAUACCCGCUGAACUUAA